ACGGUGAACUAGAGCAAGGAAUAAAGCGCGCAAUGGCUUUUGCCACAACAACCGAAACCUCCCUGUCCCCGUCCACAUUAAUUUAAUGCAGUGUUUUAUGGUUAUGAUACUGGUAAACAUGACAACACCAACAGAUGAUGAUGUGAGAAAAUAUUCCUUCAUACAGAAAAGUGAUACGGUUUUGGAAUAAUGCUUUACCAUUUUCAAAAUGCUGCUCCUGGUUGACGCUAUCGUGCCAGCUAGUGUUCUCUUUUAUGAUGCUCGAUCUCAAGCUACAAAGUUGUGCACAAGGCCUUGGAGAAUUUUAAUAGUCAGUCUCUAUCCUAUCAAACCAAACUAGUUACCCCUACCCCUACCCCUACCCCUACCCUACCUCAAACUUGAGAAAAUGAAGGGAAAAUUACUUGCAUGGUUGCUGUUGAUGAUCCUAUCAAGCUUCGCUCUCACAAACAGUUCUUUCCAUUUGGAACACUAUCAACGUGAUGUUAAUCUCUCAAGGCCCAUCCUACGAGGACAAGAAACUAUUCAUGGUGUACUUGGCACGGUGAGACUGAAUGGAUCAGAAAAAGAUUAUGAAAGAAGCAACAAAGAACAAGAAGAUUUGGUUGUUUUAGAAAAGGGACAGAAAGGAAAAACAGGAGUUUAUGGUGGUGCAACUGCUACUCAUCGCCCCAGUCAAGAGAAGAGUAGUGCAACACCCGGCUCUUGUCUCACCACAAAUACCAUGUUGCCCGUAAUCUUCAGUUUGGUUUUUACUCUUUCCUUCAAAUUAGUCUAGAUGUUCCCAUCGAUUCCAAACACGUCUAUCUAUAUCGAGUGUGAGUUUUUAGGAAAUUUUCUCCCACUUUCUUUUGGAGUGACCUUUUUGAUGAUGACAGAUCUUCAUUUUCGAGCUUUCCAUAUGAGUAUCUACUUGGAUGGACUUGGUGGUUGAUUUCUGCGAUUGAGAAGGGCUUUUCAUGUUGGUUAGGUAUAUGUUUGAUGAGUGUUUAGAUCUCAAUUUAUUGAGAAAGCAGGACUGGCGUUUUGCUAAUAGUUCUUGCCGUGUGAAAGUUUUCAAAUAAUUGUCGUGGAUCAACUGCAUGGUUCCUGGAUUUUGCUACUCAUGUAAUUUCCAUAACUCAAGCGAUUGGUUGUACCGUAAUAUUGUGUACUCUCUCUUUAAUCGAGAAAGAAAACUAGUUUGAACU
This is a long non-coding RNA of Rosa rugosa (rugosa rose), 1190 nucleotides long. RefSeq lists it as uncharacterized. The transcript has 2 exons. The record is from RefSeq and is a predicted model, not a curated record. NCBI's taxonomy places the organism in Eukaryota, Viridiplantae, Streptophyta, Magnoliopsida, Rosales, Rosaceae.